RNAcentral lists this ribosomal RNA (497 nucleotides) under uncultured bacterium. RNAcentral describes it as "partial 16S ribosomal RNA". It matches the Rfam family "Bacterial small subunit ribosomal RNA", at positions 28 to 507 of the family's 1533-position model. The record is from RNAcentral.
GAUGAACGCUGGCGGCGAGCCUAAUACAUGCAAGUCGAGCGAACAGACGAGGAGCUUGCUCCUCUGACGUUAGCGGCGGACGGGUGAGUAACACGUGGAUAACCUACCUAUAAGACUGGGAUAACUUCGGGAAACCGGAGCUAAUACCGGAUAAUAUAUUGAACCGCAUGGUUCAAUAGGGAAAGACGGUUUUGCUGUCACAUAUAGAUGGAUCCGCGCCGCAUUAGCUAGUUGGUAAGGUAACGGCUUACCAAGGCAACGAUGCGUAGCCGACCUGAGAGGGUGAUCGGCCACACUGGAACUGAGACACGGUCCAGACUCCUACGGGAGGCAGCAGUAGGGAAUCUUCCGCAAUGGGCGAAAGCCUGACGGAGCAACGCCGCGUGAGUGAUGAAGGUCUUCGGAUCGUAAAACUCUGUUAUUAGGGAAGAACAAAUGUGUAAGUAACUAUGCACGUCUUGACGGUACCUAAUCAGAGAGCCACGGCUAACUACGUG